This 95-nucleotide transfer RNA is filed under the name Actinoplanes regularis. RNAcentral describes it as "tRNA-Ser". Lineage: Bacteria; Bacillati; Actinomycetota; Actinomycetes; Micromonosporales; Micromonosporaceae. The record is from RNAcentral.
GGCGAGUCUGGCGCAGGUGAUGGCGCCGGUGCUGGACGUGUCGGCGGGGACGGCGGCGUUGCAGUUCGCGUCGUUCAGUUUCGACGCUUCGGUGC